UGGGGCUGGGGCUCAGUGGUAGAGUGCUCGCCUAGCACAUGUGAGGCUCUGGGUUCAACCCUCAGCACCACAA
Molecule: transfer RNA, 73 nt
Filed under: Marmota monax (woodchuck)
Lineage: Eukaryota; Metazoa; Chordata; Mammalia; Rodentia; Sciuridae
Description: tRNA.Ala
Source: RNAcentral